AACGAACGCUGGCGGCAUGCCUAACACAUGCAAGUCGAACGAGACCUUCGGGUCUAGUGGCGCACGGGUGCGUAACGCGUGGGAACCUGCCCUUAGGUUCGGAAUAACUCCCCGAAAGGGGUGCUAAUACCGGAUAAUGUCUUCGGACCAAAGAUUUAUCGCCUUUGGAUGGGCCCGCGUUGCAUUAGCUUGUUGGUAGGGUAAAAGCCUACCAAGGCGACGAUCCAUAGCUGGUCUGAGAGGAUGAUCAGCCACACUGGGACUGAGACACGGCCCAGACUCCUACGGGAGGCAGCAGUGGGGAAUAUUGGACUAUGGGCGAAAGCCUGAUCCAGCAAUGCCUCGUGAGUGAUGAAGGCCUUAGGGUUGUAAAGCUCUUUUACCCGGGAUGAUAAUGACAGUACCGGGAGAAUAAGCUCCGGCUAACUCCGUG
This 433-nucleotide ribosomal RNA is filed under the name uncultured bacterium. Its description in RNAcentral is "partial 16S ribosomal RNA". It matches the Rfam family "Bacterial small subunit ribosomal RNA", at positions 29 to 507 of the family's 1533-position model. The record is from RNAcentral.